CACGGGCCGGCUCAACCCGC
RNAcentral lists this small nuclear RNA (20 nucleotides) under Arabidopsis thaliana (thale cress). RNAcentral's name for it is "snRNA_07336". Lineage: Eukaryota; Viridiplantae; Streptophyta; Magnoliopsida; Brassicales; Brassicaceae. The record is from RNAcentral.